RNAcentral lists this ribosomal RNA (322 nucleotides) under uncultured bacterium. Its description in RNAcentral is "bacterial SSU rRNA". It matches the Rfam family "Bacterial small subunit ribosomal RNA", at positions 585 to 907 of the family's 1533-position model. The record is from RNAcentral.
AAGCGAGAUGUGAAAGCCCCGGGCUCAACCUGGGAACUGCAUUUCGAACUGGCAAACUAGAGUGUGAUAGAGGGUGGUAGAAUUUCAGGUGUAGCGGUGAAAUGCGUAGAGAUCUGAAGGAAUACCGAUGGCGAAGGCAGCCACCUGGGUCAACACUGACGCUCAUGUACGAAAGCGUGGGGAGCAAACAGGAUUAGAUACCCUGGUAGUCCACGCCGUAAACGAUGUCUACUAGAAGCUCGGAGCCUCGGCUCUGUUUUUCAAAGCUAACGCAUUAAGUAGACCGCCUGGGGAGUACGGCCGCAAGGUUAAAACUCAAAUG